Molecule: long non-coding RNA, 1029 nt
Organism: Eupeodes corollae
Lineage: Eukaryota; Metazoa; Arthropoda; Insecta; Diptera; Syrphidae
Exons: 2
Source: RefSeq, a predicted model, not a curated record
UACAACAUUCAUUUUCAUCAAACAUCUCUUCCUUUCGGCAAAAGUUGAAACCGAAAGACAAACAUCGAUUUUGUAUCUCUUUUUUUCUCCUUGACAAACAAUUGCAAUUUUCUGCAUCAUCUAAUUUGGCCAUGGAAUCGGAACUAACUAUAUUCCAUUCCAGUUCAAAAAACAAUAUAUUCCUUGCUUUUUCUUCGCCUGGUAUCGGUUUCAGGCAAUGGCAAACUUACAGGUAAAAAGAAGAUGAAGCUAGUCGCAUUUUAGGAGCUUGACAGCCAAGCCAUAUUGUGUGAGGAAAAAAAGAUUAGAAAAUAUUUUUCACAUAUUUUCAAUCAAUUAAUUUUAUCAAUGCAAUCUUCUAGAAAUGCGAUUGUGUGUAAUGUUAAAAAAUGACACAACAAGUGUUUAACUCGAUUCUGUGCAUUUUCAAUAUUCGAGUUUUCCGAAUAGUGGAGGAAUUUUCAGUGAAAAAGUCUGAAAAAAAAAUUCACAGAAGGAGAAAAAUAAAACAUGGCGAUGGUUGUUUCAUUUCGAUUUCAUUCCGUUAUUUGGAUCUGGACUUGAUAGGAAAAACAGAGUAUGGUGAAUUAAAUCAAAUGAAAAUAGAACGUGUAACCAAGAACGAAAUAAGAAAAGUUGUACGUAGAAAAUUUACUUGGGUAUGAGAAAUAUGCAAAAUUAACGUCAUCUCUAAACAUCAAUUAAAAAUGGAUGAUUUCUAUGAUAUUACAGCUUGACGCAACAUCAUUUAAAAUGCAAGAAUGUCAGUUAUUAUUUUUAUACUUUGUAGGUAGGUAACCAUAUUGAAAAUUUUAAAUUUGAAAUGAAAGUUACAACAGAAGUGAACUAUUGGAAAGGGAGAAGAAAAGUGUGUUACUUUUACUUAUGCGCGCUUUUAUUAUCACACUCGAACUCGAUAGUGAAUAAAACUCACCCUUGUCGUUGAUUUGACAUUGCAUUUGCUUUAGCACAACUAAGGAAAUGGCUUUUUAUUCGCAUUCGGGGCUUUGAUGUGUGUAAAGCUUUAAA